RNAcentral lists this ribosomal RNA (1488 nucleotides) under uncultured bacterium. Its description in RNAcentral is "bacterial SSU rRNA". It matches the Rfam family "Bacterial small subunit ribosomal RNA". The record is from RNAcentral.
GAGUUUGAUCCUGGCUCAGGAUUAACGCUAGCGGCAGGCAUAAUACAUGCAAGUUGAACGGCAGCACAGGUAGCAAUACCGGGUGGCGAGUGGCGCACGGGUGCGUAACACGUAUGCAACCUACCCUAUACAGGCGAAUAACCUUUAGAAAUGAGGGCUAAUACGCCGUGGUAUUAUCUUGGGGCAUCUUGAGAUAAUUAAAGAUUUAUCGGUAUAGGAUGGGCAUGCGUCCCAUUAGUUAGUUGGUAGGGUAACGGCCUACCAAGGCUAUGAUGGGUAGGGGAUCUGAGAGGAUUUACCCCCACACUGGUACUGAGACACGGACCAGACUCCUACGGGAGGCAGCAGUAAGGAAUAUUGGGCAAUGGGCGCGAGCCUGACCCAGCCAUGCCGCGUGCAGGAAGACGGCCCUAUGGGUUGUAAACUGCUUUUAUACGGGAAUAAUUGUGGGUAUGUAUAUCCACUUGCAAGUACUGUAUGAAUAAGCAUCGGCUAACUCCGUGCCAGCAGCCGCGGUAAUACGGAGGAUGCGAGCGUUAUCCGGAUUUAUUGGGUUUAAAGGGUGCGCAGGCGGAUAUAUAAGUCAGUGGUGAAAGACCUGGGCUCAACCGAGGUACUGCCGUUGAUACUGUAUAUCUUGAGUGUAGUGGGCGUUGGCGGAAUGUGUCAUGUAGCGGUGAAAUGCAUAGAGAUGACACAGAACACCGAUAGCGAAGGCAGCUGACGAUACUUACACUGACGCUCAUGCACGAGAGCGUGGGGAUCAAACAGGAUUAGAUACCCUGGUAGUCCACGCUGUAAACGAUGAUCACUAGCUGUAGGCGAUACACUGUCUGUGGCUAAGCGAAAGCGAUAAGUGAUCCACCUGGGGAGUACGUUCGCAAGAAUGAAACUCAAAGGAAUUGACGGGGGCCCGCACAAGCGGAGGAGCAUGUGGUUUAAUUCGAUGAUACGCGAGGAACCUUACCUGGGCUUGAACGUAUGGUGCAUUAUGGAGAAAUUCAUAUUUCUAGCAAUAGACUUCAUACGAGGUGCUGCAUGGCUGUCGUCAGCUCGUGCCGUGAGGUGUUAGGUUAAGUCCUGCAACGAGCGCAACCCUUGUCUUUAGUUGCCAGCAUGUAAUGAUGGGGACUCUAGAGAGACUGCCUGCGCAAGCAGAGAGGAAGGUGGGGAUGACGUCAAGUCAGCACGGCCCUUACGCCCAGGGCUACACACGUGCUACAAUGGCCGGUACAGAGGGCAGCGACCUGGUGACAGGGAGCCAAUCUUCAAAGCCGGUCUCAGUUCGGAUCGGAGUCUGCAACUCGACUCCGUGAAGUUGGAUUCGCUAGUAAUCGCGCAUCAGCCAUGGCGCGGUGAAUACGUUCCCGGGCCUUGUACACACCGCCCGUCAAGCCAUGGGAGUUAGGGGUGCCUGAAGUCGAUGACCGUAAAAGGAGUCGCCUAGGGUAAACCUGAUGACUGGGGCUAAGUCGUAACAAGGUAGCC